RNAcentral lists this unclassified non-coding RNA (217 nucleotides) under uncultured fungus. RNAcentral's name for it is "sequence contains ITS1". The record is from RNAcentral. Lineage: Eukaryota; Fungi.
GUAUAAGUUUUAAAAGACGCGAGCGCCUUGUAUACAUUCGUAAGACGUUACAGGGUGUGAUAAAAGUAUACAUAGGCCGAUUGCUCAGCCUACAACAGGUGCACAGGUGUGAGAUGAAUGAAUAAAAGGGGAGCGUGCACGAUACCUUGCGGCCAGCAACAACUCCCUUCUUAUUUUUAAUUCAUUAAUGAUCCUUCCGCAGGUUCACCUACGGAAA